CUAGCUGUAAACGAUGGAUACUAGGCGUUGAGAGUAUCGACCCUCUCAGUGUCGUAGCUAACGCGUUAAGUAUCCCGCCUGGGGAGUACGCGCGCAAGCGUGAAACUCAAAGGAAUUGACGGGGGCCCGCACAAGCGGUGGAGUAUGUGGUUUAAUUCGAUGCAACGCGAAGAACCUUACCAGGGCUUGACAUGUCCGGAACCCUGCCCAAAGGCGGGGGUGCCUACGGGAACCGGAACACAGGUGGUGU
This 250-nucleotide ribosomal RNA is filed under the name uncultured Chroococcidiopsis sp. Its description in RNAcentral is "partial 16S ribosomal RNA". It matches the Rfam family "Bacterial small subunit ribosomal RNA", at positions 796 to 1044 of the family's 1533-position model. The record is from RNAcentral. Lineage: Bacteria; Bacillati; Cyanobacteriota; Cyanophyceae; Chroococcidiopsidales; Chroococcidiopsidaceae.